This 212-nucleotide ribosomal RNA is filed under the name uncultured bacterium. RNAcentral describes it as "partial 16S ribosomal RNA". It matches the Rfam family "Bacterial small subunit ribosomal RNA", at positions 524 to 734 of the family's 1533-position model. The record is from RNAcentral.
UACGAAGGGUGCAAGCGUUAGUCGGAAUUACUGGGCGUAAAGCGUGCGUAGGCGGUCUCUUAAGUCCGUUGUGAAAUCCCUGGGCUCAACCCAGGAACUGCACUCGAAACUACUAUUCUUGAGUGUCGGAGAGGAAAGCGGAAUUCCUGGUGUAGAGGUGAAAUUCGUAGAUAUCAGGAGGAACACCAGUGGCGAAGGGCGGCUUUCUGGAC